GACGAACGCUGGCGGCGUGCUUAACACAUGCAAGUCGAACGGAAAGGCCCUGCUUUUGUGGGGUGCUCGAGUGGCGAACGGGUGAGUAACACGUGAGUAACCUGCCCUUGACUUUGGGAUAACAUCAGGAAACUGGGGCUAAUACCGGAUAGGAGCUCCUGCUGCAUGGUGGGGGUUGGAAAGUUUCGGCGGUUGGGGAUGGACUCGCGGCUUAUCAGCUUGUUGGUGGGGUAGUGGCUUACCAAGGCUUUGACGGGUAGCCGGCCUGAGAGGGUGACCGGCCACAUUGGGACUGGGAUACGGCCCAGACUCCUACGGGAGGCAGCAGUGGGGAAUAUUGCACAAUGGGCGGAAGCCUGAUGCAGCAACGCCGCGUGCGGGAUGACGGCCUUCGGGUUGUAAACCGCUUUCGCCUGUGACGAAGCGUGAGUGACGGUAAUGGGUAAAGAAGCACCGGCUAACUACGUG
Molecule: ribosomal RNA, 468 nt
Filed under: uncultured bacterium
Lineage: Bacteria
Description: partial 16S ribosomal RNA
Rfam family: Bacterial small subunit ribosomal RNA
Source: RNAcentral